This 171-nucleotide unclassified non-coding RNA is filed under the name soil metagenome. RNAcentral describes it as "partial internal transcribed spacer 1". The record is from RNAcentral.
GUGAAUUUUAGGGCGUCUACUUGUAGAGCCUGACCUCCACUCUCUAACACUGUGCAUUUAUUGGCGAAAUUUUUAGGGAUAAGGAAUUUUCGGAUUUCGGAUCACUAAAUUUUUUGCGGCUCAUUUUAUAACACUAGUCAAAGUAUGUAAUGAAAUAUCGAAACAAAAAAA